CAAUAGCGUAUAUUAAAGUUGUUGCGGUUAAAAGCUCGUAGUUGGAUUUCUGUUGAGGACGGCCGGUCCGCACUAUGUGCGUGUAUCUGGUUCGGCCUUGGCAUCCUCUUGAGGAACGUAUCUGCGCUUGAUUGCGUGGAGCGGUAUUCAAGACUUUUACUUUGAGGAAAUUAGAGUGUUCACGGCAGGCAAGCGCCUUGAAUACGUUAGCAUGGAAUGAUAAUAUAGGAUCUUGGUUCUAUUUUGUUGGUUUCUAGAGCUAAGGUAAUGAUUAAUAGGGAUAAUUGGGGGCAUUUGUAUUAACGCGUCAGAGGUGGAAUUCUUGGAUUGCGUUACGACAAACUACUGCGAAAGCAUUUGCCAAGGAUGUUUUCAUUGAUCAAGAACGAAAGUAUGGGGAUCGAAGACGAUUAGAUACCAU
Molecule: ribosomal RNA, 421 nt
Filed under: uncultured eukaryote
Lineage: Eukaryota
Description: SSU rRNA
Rfam family: Eukaryotic small subunit ribosomal RNA
Source: RNAcentral